GCGCUCUGGAGCUGGGAGAGCUAAUUCCCUGAAAGACCAGCAGGAGGCGCCGCAGGGAGGCCCUUUUGGAGAAUGCAGCUCUGCAGCUUAAAUCAACCUUCGCCCCAGACCUUCCUGGGCUACCCCUUAUGCUUCAGAAUCGAGCCCCUAAGCAGGAACCCAACUAGAAAUAAAGGUGAAAAUGACUCAUUAAUUUCGCUGCCCAAGCCGAGCAAAAUGCACAACAGGUAACAUCAUCGCCACAGUACGAUGUGGGAGGGAGAAGACAAUUCUCUUACCAUGGACCCUAAAAUCCUCCUCAAAGCAUUUUCGAUUCAGCUGGAACUCCGGACCCUCUGUGUAGCUGUACAGUUCUGCCAAGAGAGCAUCACUGGUGUCUGAUGGUUGUCAAUUUCAUUUCUGCAUCCAACCAGAAAACACCUCCCAAAAACUAACCAGUUCUCAGCUGUGAAACUAAGGAGCACGGACGUCACUUCAGUCAUAUCACACUUAAUGUUUAUUGGGCUCUGUGAUCAUUAGAAUCUGUAUGGUUUGACUUGUUACCUGGAAAUUGCUGCUAUGGGUUUUUUCUACUUAUACUAAUUAUAUUAAUUUUUUUUAAAAAAGAUUUCUCAUCACUGAAGUUUUCUACACUUGGGGCCCUUUGUUUUCAGUUUUUAUUUUAUUUAUUUUUUCCAGACAAUUUAUCAGGGUUUAUUACCACAGCAACCAAAACAGGUGAAAAAUCAGUGCAAAAAAUGUUAGUAAUUUUCCUGGGUAAAUAUUGGGGUUUAUUUUAGCGGACAGAAAGACAGGGAAAAAACUAUUCAGUAGAUUAAUGCUUUGAAUUCCAUUCAUCAAUGUGGUUUGCUGCAGAACUAAAGCAGAACUCAAAACACAACGCCACCUCUGAGAUUAA
Molecule: long non-coding RNA, 898 nt
Organism: Mauremys reevesii (Reeves's turtle)
Lineage: Eukaryota; Metazoa; Chordata; Testudines; Geoemydidae
Exons: 3
Source: RefSeq, a predicted model, not a curated record